RNAcentral lists this ribosomal RNA (468 nucleotides) under uncultured bacterium. RNAcentral's name for it is "partial 16S ribosomal RNA". It matches the Rfam family "Bacterial small subunit ribosomal RNA", at positions 28 to 507 of the family's 1533-position model. The record is from RNAcentral.
GACGAACGCUGGCGGCGUGCUUAACACAUGCAAGUCGAACGGAAGGGCCCUGCUUUCGUGGGGUGCUCGAGUGGCGAACGGGUGAGUAACACGUGAGUAACCUGCCCUUGACUUUGGGAUAACUUCAGGAAACUGGGGCUAAUACCGUAUAGGAGCUCCCGUUGCAUGGUGGGGGUUGGAAAGUUUCGGCGGUUGGGGAUGGACUGGCGGCUUAUCAGCUUGUUGGUGGGGUAGUGGCUUACCAAGGCUUUGACGGGUAGCCGGCCUGAGAGGGUGACCGGCCACAUUGGGACUGAGAUACGGCCCAGACUCGUACGGGAGGCAGCAGUGGGGAAUAUUGCACAAUGGGCGGAAGCCUGAUGCAGCAACGCCGCGUGCGGGAUGACGGCCUUCGGGUUGUAAACCGCUUUCGCCUGUGACGAAGCGUGAGUGACGGUAAUGGGUAAAGAAGCACCGGCUAACUACGUG